This 253-nucleotide ribosomal RNA is filed under the name uncultured bacterium. RNAcentral describes it as "partial 16S ribosomal RNA". It matches the Rfam family "Bacterial small subunit ribosomal RNA", at positions 524 to 776 of the family's 1533-position model. The record is from RNAcentral.
UACGUAGGGUGCAAGCGUUGUCCGGAAUUAUUGGGCGUAAAGAGCUCGUAGGCGGCUUGUCGCGUCUGUCGUGAAAGCUUGGGGCUUAACCCCAAGUCUGCGGUGGAUACGGGCAGACUAGAGGCAGGUAGGGGAGAACGGAAUUCCCGGUGUAGCGGUGAAAUGCGCAGAUAUCGGGAGGAACACCGGUGGCGAAGGCGGUUCUCUGGGCCUGUACUGACGCUGAGGAGCGAAAGCGUGGGGAGCGAACAGG